RNAcentral lists this long non-coding RNA (249 nucleotides) under Prunus dulcis (almond). Its description in RNAcentral is "sRNA ncRNA". Lineage: Eukaryota; Viridiplantae; Streptophyta; Magnoliopsida; Rosales; Rosaceae. The record is from RNAcentral.
AUGUUAAUGAACAACUUUCUGGUUGGUCAAAUCCCAUACCAAAUCAGAGGGCUACCCAACUUGGAAAACUUGCUUCUUUGGAAUAAUUCAUGGACAAACGUCCUUCCCCAAAGCUUAGGGUUCAAUGAGAAGCUUGUGAGGGUUGAUGUCUCCUCCAAUCUUCUUGACAGUCCAAUCCCUCCAAACCUCUGCAAAUACUACAAGUUUGUUGACAUCAGCAGCAACAACUUCACUAGCACCAUCACAUAA